This 70-nucleotide transfer RNA is filed under the name Ctenogobius saepepallens (dash goby). RNAcentral describes it as "tRNA-Pro". It matches the Rfam family "tRNA". Rfam says of the family: Transfer RNA (tRNA) molecules are approximately 80 nucleotides in length. Their secondary structure includes four short double-helical elements and three loops (D, anti-codon, and T loops). RNAcentral also lists the same sequence under 1 other name. Lineage: Eukaryota; Metazoa; Chordata; Actinopteri; Gobiiformes; Gobiidae. The record is from RNAcentral.
CAGGGAAUAGUUAAAUUCAGAAUGCUAGCUUUGGGAGCUAGUGGUGGGAGUUAAAAUCUCCCUUCCUUGA